AUAAAGACAAAAUAACUCAUUUGAUGAGAUAAAUCCAAUAACCAUAGUCUCAGCAUCUAUCAAGAAUAAUGCAUAGAUCCCAUUUAAUUGGUUGUUGGCAAAACUGACUACCUUCGUAUGGUCGUAUUUUAGAGAAUAGAGAUUUAAAAAGAAAGAUGUUUAUUAUGAAGUUCAAUCAACUAUUGAGAGUUCAAAACUUUGUGGCA
Molecule: unclassified non-coding RNA, 206 nt
Filed under: Hevea brasiliensis (rubber tree)
Lineage: Eukaryota; Viridiplantae; Streptophyta; Magnoliopsida; Malpighiales; Euphorbiaceae
Source: RNAcentral